This 354-nucleotide transfer-messenger RNA is filed under the name Planctomycetota bacterium. It matches the Rfam family "transfer-messenger RNA". Rfam says of the family: Bacterial tmRNA, also known as 10Sa RNA or SsrA, is named for its dual tRNA and mRNA-like properties. Its role is to liberate the mRNA from a stalled ribosome. The record is from RNAcentral. Lineage: Bacteria; Pseudomonadati; Planctomycetota.
GGGGGCGAACUGGUUUCGACCGGGCAGGUUGAAGGCAUGUGUGGCGUGCCGAGGACGCCGGGUGGCCUCGAUAAAAACCUGGCAAAAACUUUUAUUUGGCAACACCUUUGCCAUGGCCGCCUAAACAGGCGACCCGUCGAACCGCCCACGCCUUCUAGGCGGCAAGACGCCAUUUCGAGGGCUGGCCCUUCCGUGACACUCGGCCGCGGACGGGCGAGACAAAAGUCGAGUAUGCCAAACCGGAAGCCUGUCGAUCGGCGUCCGGGGCGGCGAGACUCAAACGAUCGACUACGCACGUAGAAGCCAUGUCCGAAAUGUUCCGGGACGCGGGUUCGAUUCCCGCCGCCUCCAGUU